Non-coding RNA from Meleagris gallopavo (turkey), 2588 nucleotides. The record is from RefSeq and is a predicted model, not a curated record. Lineage: Eukaryota; Metazoa; Chordata; Aves; Galliformes; Phasianidae.
AGCAUUCCUCUGCAGGCUGCCUCUUCAAGUAUGUGCCAUAGAGAUAAAAUAUCAGCAUGCAAGUUUUUAAAAUUGAAGAUGUAGGGACUGAAACUGGUAACAGAGGCUGAAUGCAAGGUCUUCCCCUUUCAGUGGAAAGAGAGAACACAUGGAGAGGAUGCAAAAGCUGAGCAAGAGGUUUUUAGAUUCAUCAGGAGCACGCGUAAUCUCACUCAUCAUUACCUUAUUGGUAAACCUAUAGCAAAGUGAAUUGUUCAGAAAUGCUGUGAUGAAGAUAUGAAAAUAAGCAGCUGGAGAAACCAGAAACAUGACUGGAGAUCUGUAUACUGCUGAGGAUUGCUUGGAAAGUUUUACUUCUGAUGAACAAGGCUGCAGAGCUGAGAUUUCAAGUUGAAUGGAAGAAGACCUGAUAUUCAUCGCUAUAUGUUUAAGAUUAGAGCAGCUGCUGCUCUGGAAUGCUUCCUCCCUUUUGAUGCUGGAAAGAUGGACAUCUUGGCCUACUUCAGUCCAGUUUCUUCAGAAUGUUGUCUCCCUCUUACUGUAGUAGACAGUUCCAUAAUAUGACAUCCAACUCCUCUUAACACCUGGAGCUGUCUGGAAUGCUGUAUUGAAGCUUGCUCAGGCCCACAGCCAGCAGUAGCAUGUUCACAGAGGGAAGCAGCCAGAUACCCUGCGGUGUUGCUGAUCAUCACUGUGCUUUUAUCAGCACUAGUACUAGGACCUCAGCUCCACGGUCACAGCCCUGGUAAAUCCUGAUUAAUAAAACCCAAAACUUGCAAGGAGUUCUACUUGCAUCCUGUUUUGUGUCAAGCUCUAUUUCUACUGGGAAACUGUCACAAAUCAUAAAAGUCACUUUUCUACUUAUGAGUCUUACAGAACUCAGCUAUGUAGAUCUCAUCUCACUUAAGCAUUAAUCAUUGUAAUAAAAUGUUCUCAUUGAUUAAAGAAAGAGUACAGUUGGCAGAAAAAUGUAUUCUUUAUCUUGUUCUGAUGGAGCUGCGUACAAACAGCUCACCAUAUCUUCAGCUGCUUGAGUUUACUGCCUAAAUAAUCCUGAGAAAGAAUUCCCAAAUAUGUUAUUUCAGUUCUAAACAAUUGCCUGUUUGUGUUAAUCUCAGGUAAGAUUUUUUACUGUGCCUGCCUCCUACAAUGAAAACAGGUUGUCUAAAAGUCUCCUACAGAGCUGACUUACAUACUCUUCUGAAAAAAUGAUAGCUUCCCCAGCAGCUCACACGCAGCUGAAAUCUGUUUUCACAAACCAUCUUUUGUAGCACGCUUGACAUGCUUUACAUCUGUACAGUGCAAACAAAAGCAACAUAGAGAAGAAAAUAAAAUAAUUUACAGCUCAGAACGAAUAUUCACGAUGAACUGUUUAUGUUAUUCACCCCAUGGCAACAUUUAACACAGAAUCAGAAAUUUGCAGUUUAGGUAAUUGUGAUCACUGAUGAACAAAGAAUUGUUUCCAACCCGUGUUUCGGAUUUGCUUGUUAAACAUUUUACGUGCUCUGUGAGGUUGUCUUCUCUUGAGUUAUUUCGCAGUGCAUGAGUGCCAUCAAAUAAUUAGUUGAAACUUGUGCUUUACUUGAGGAGAAAAAAAAAGAUUUUAAAAAGUAUUUCAGAGCUACUGUUUUCUUCUCUACUACCACUGAAAUGGUGUUACACCCACAAUGACCUGAAGGUGACUGAAAUUGGUAGUAAUAUGGUGGAAAGAAAAGCUGGCUUUUAAGCUGGUAUUUGCCCUAGUGAUGUGGAUACAGUUCUGCCCAGUGUCAUAUGCAGUAUUUUGCUCAUGUAAGUAAGCUUUCCCAUCUCAGGGACAGUGAACAAUAUCUGAGGAAUUUUAUUGCUAAUUGUUGGAGAAGGUACAGAAAACUCACAUAGGAUUUUUCUAAUAUAGAAGCUCAGACUGAUUUGAUUGAAAUUGUUUCAAUACUUUUUAUUCCACACCAUAAUCACUAAUGAUAAACGUAUGGAUCACCUGCUGAAUUAACAUUUUUGCAGUGAAGGUUUUGGCUGAGUCUUCUACCAGCACAGAAGGGUAUAUUAUUUUUUAUGAGCUGAAGGUGAUUUUCUUGCUCUGUGAACAUAACAGAGAUGGUGUAAAGUCUCAGUGUUAAUAGUGAAUAUUGUCAAACAAAUUUGCUAAUGUUUUUCUAUAAAAUAUUAGCAUCUUCUUUGGGGAAUACAUUGUAACAUUGUUUUACAGAUGCAUGUCCUCAUCAAUUGAAUAUAAGACAUAUCCACAUUUCUAGUAUAGGCUACUGCUUCAUAAAUUUCCAAGUUAAUAUUUCCAAACAUUCACUUUUCUUACUCCUGAAGUUCAAUACUGUUUAGUGAUUAUUUGGUAUUUUGCUGCUUCUUCUAGCAUUACUGAUCGUUGAGCAACAUUUUUGGUUCAUUAGAGGUGUUUUCUUAACAAAUAUCCUCUUGAGUAGAUUUUAAGGUUUUUAAGUUGCAACAUUGAGGAGAUUAAAGUAGGAGUGAAAUUAAAUAAGACCUAUUAAAUACAUUGUUUUCUUUACAGGAGCUUGGGAUUUCUUUAUAUUCAUACUUCUUAAUUUUUCAAUAUUCUUUUUAGUUUGAAACAA